GUGCAUUCUGACGAAGACAACAAAAGGUAAUCAAACUUUUAUAAUAGUAAAUCUGAUUUUGGUGAAGGCUAAACUUGCCAGGUGUCUAAAUAGCUAGCCCGUGAUGGCUGGGCUAUGUACUUAGAAUAUUGCAAAAUGUGCUUUCACCAAAAAGCUAUUUUAAAAUCGGACAUAUCGAGUGCAUAGAGGAGUUCUGUAUCUAUAAUUUUUAAAAUAAUUGUUAUGCUUUUUGUGAACGUUUAUCGUGAGUAAUUUAGUAAAUUGUUAGUAAAUUCCCCGGAAGUUUGCGGGGGGUAUGCUAGUUCUGAACGUCACAUGCUAAUGUAAAAAGCUGUUUUUUGAUAUAAAUAUGAACUUGAUUGAACAAAACAUGCAUGUAUUGUAUAACAUAAUGUCCUAGGAUUGUCAUCUGAUGAAGAUCAUCAAAGGUUAGUGCUGCAUUUAGCUGUCUUCUGGGUUUUUGUGACAUUAUAUGCUAGCUUGAAAAAUGGGUGUCUGAUUAUUUCUGGCUGGGUACUCUGCUGACAUAAUCUAAUGUUUUGCUUUCAUUCUAAAGCCUUUUUGAAAUCGGACAGUGUGGUUAGAUUAACGAGAGUCUUGUCUUUAAAUAGCUGUAAAAUAGUCAUAUGUUUGAGAAAUUGAAGUAAUAGGAUUUUUAAGGUAUUUGAAAAUCGCGCCACAGGAUUCAACUGGCUGUUACGUAGGUGGGACGAAUUCGUCCCACCUGCCCUAGAGAGGUUAACAAAGUUUAGCAGUAGCUUUUUGGAUUCCUUUCUCUACAUGUUGAACAAGUGGAUUACUCAAAUCGAUGGCGCCAACUAAACAGACUUUUUUGGGAUAUAAAUAAGGAUUUUAUCCAACAAAAUGACCAUGCAUGUUGUAGCUAGGACCCUUGGGAUUGCAAAUCAGAGGAUGAUUUUCAAAAAGUAAGUGAAUAUUUGAUCGCUAUUUGUGAUUUUACGACGCCUGUGCUGGUUGAAAAAUAUCUUGAUGUGGGACGCCGUCCUCAAACAAUCGCAUGGCAUGCUUCGCUGUAAAGCCUAUUGUAAAUCGGACAAUGCAGUUAGAUUAACAAGAAUUUAAGCUUUUAACCCAUAUAAGUUGUCGGCAGGUGUCCCGUUGACGGGACGCCUAGCCCUUGAACAGUUAAUCAAAUUGCUAACAGGACUAUUCGCAUUGUCCCCACCCCCCAUUUUUACGCUGCUUCUACUCUCUGUUUAUUAUCCAUGCAUAGUCACUUCACCUCUACCUACAUGUACAUAUUACCUCGACUUACCGGUAUGUAUAUAGCCUCGCUACUGUUAUUCUGUUUUUGCUCCUUAAUUAUAUUUAUAUUUUUUAUUCUUCUUAAAACUACAUUGUUGGUUAAGGGCUGGUAAGUAAGCAUUUCACUGUAAGGUUGUAUUCGGCGCAGGUGACAAAUACAAUUUGAUUUGAUUUGAACUAGCUGUUGUGUGUCUCUGUGAAAAAGACUUAGCUAACCAUUUAUACACAGCCUAUUUAUUUAUAGGCUACUAGCUAGUCAUGUGAUGUGUUUGCUUGAUAGCUACUUGAAUUGAGAGUGCGUGCUCUGUGUAGGGGCCACGGAGGUGCAGCACUGCAGUGUUUGAAGACUUUCUAUGUCCGAGGGGAUCGGAGAGCUGGGAUAGUUCAAGGUGACAAUGGAGAAGGCCAGUCACGUGGAGCAUACUGCUGCACGCACAAAGCCAUGGAGCUACUGACAACACUCCCUGUGGUACAGCCAUCACUGGUAAGACAGGAGAAAAAGGGGAGGGGGGAGGUGAAGAGGGAGAGAGGCGAGGGACACAGGUGGAGUAGGAAGUUUGAGAUUGGGAGAGUCUGAGAUUUGGACUUUCUAAGUGUGUGUUUACUGUUUCUGUUUCUCUUUCCAAACAGCCUACCAGUCUAUGAAUCUGGAGACACUGGAGGUGUUUGGGGUGGAGAGGACGGUGGACUCAGUGGAGGACAUCCCAGCCACGUGGCAGUGAGGGAGUUUGAUUAAUCUCACCUUGUUGCCCGUGUAGGUGUGUUUUGCACUGGCUGAAAGUUGAUUGUAUUCCAUUUGAAACCAGGCUGCCCCCAGGGCAUGAGCCAGGUCCCCCGCUCUGGCCGACGUUGAAGUCGGCUCAAAACAAAAGUGACGUAGGUUAAGCACAUGGAGUAAUGAGUAGGUUUCUGUGUCUUCACAUGCAACAGUGAUUGCUUUUGAUAAAAACCCUUUAUCUGCCAUUCCAAUGAAAACUAGUUAGAAAAUCUGAACAUAUAUUGAUGGUAAAGAUAUGCUGUAUAUGUUUCUGAACAAUGCUGCCUUGUUGAUAACAUGAACGAGUGAUGCAGAUUACUGUUCGAUUUCAGAAGGACGCUCCUCCCUCAGCGCUUUUGCCCGUUCACGUCACGGCGGUUCAGAUUAAUAGACCUCCCUCAGUUUUGGCACUGCUACAUCCUACCUGAUGGGUAAGAGGGGACACACACACACACACACACACACACACACACACACACACACACACACACACACACACACACACACACACACACACACACACACACACACACACACACACACACACACACACGCAGGACAGAAGUGUUCCCCUGUUUGUAUGUCAGAGGUGAGGGAUGAUAAGCCAGUGUUUGAGAAGAGGCGUCUGGUGUGUAAGGAGGACAUGCAGAUGCACUCCAAUUUCCUGAACAGAAAGGGGACAUAUAAAGUAUUUCCCUACACCAUGAGUCCGGCGUCAGGCAUCAGGCUCCUGUCAGGCUAUGCUGAUGAGCCGGAAUUUACGAUUUUGUGUCACUGGACUACACGCACUACCCCA
RNAcentral lists this long non-coding RNA (2819 nucleotides) under Salmo salar (Atlantic salmon). RNAcentral's name for it is "lncRNA (ENSSSAG00000111864.1)". The record is from RNAcentral. Lineage: Eukaryota; Metazoa; Chordata; Actinopteri; Salmoniformes; Salmonidae.